RNAcentral lists this ribosomal RNA (393 nucleotides) under Pseudomonas sp. E2. Its description in RNAcentral is "bacterial SSU rRNA". It matches the Rfam family "Bacterial small subunit ribosomal RNA", at positions 53 to 448 of the family's 1533-position model. Lineage: Bacteria; Pseudomonadati; Pseudomonadota; Gammaproteobacteria; Pseudomonadales; Pseudomonadaceae. The record is from RNAcentral.
ACAUGCAAGUCGAGCGGAUGAGGGGUGCUUGCACUCUGAUUCAGCGGCGGACGGGUGAGUAAUGCCUAGGAAUCUGCCUGGUAGUGGGGGACAACGUUUCGAAAGGAACGCUAAUACCGCAUACGUCCUACGGGAGAAAGUGGGGGCUCUUCGGACCUCACGCUAUCAGAUGAGCCUAGGUCGGAUUAGCUAGUUGGUGGGGUAAAGGCCCACCAAGGCGACGAUCCGUAACUGGUCUGAGAGGAUGAUCAGUCACACUGGAACUGAGACACGGUCCAGACUCCUACGGGAGGCAGCAGUGGGGAAUAUUGGACAAUGGGCGAAAGCCUGAUCCAGCCAUGCCGCGUGUGUGAAGAAGGUCUUCGGAUUGUAAAGCACUUUAAGUUGGGAGGA